AUUCUACGUGGCAAAUCAAAUGGGUAUUCAUGUCAGUUGUUGCAUGCCAUGUGUAAACUAAAACCCACCAAAUAAAUAAUUAAAAUCACAAAAUUAAUUAAAAGAAAACUUGAAAAUAAAAUAAAAACAAAAUGCUUUAAAAAAAAUAAAAACUCCAAAAUAAAUAAAAAAGGGUAUUAAAAUCUUUUCGAAACAUAAAACCAGAAAAAAUCCAAACAUCUUCUCCAUUUCCUUUGAUUGAUAAAAGAGAGUGGACACUUUGAAACACAGACGUGAGUGAGGAGGAACAACUAUUUCUGCUACUAUUGAGGAGUAGAGUGUGUACGAGUGCAAUGCAAUAUUGGAGGCGAGGUUCCGACGACCCCCCACUUGCAAAGCUUUCUAAACAGUGCGAAAUUGUGGAAAUUUCUAGGGAUUGAAGAUGGUGAAUUUACAGUGAAACUCAUACAUGGGGGUAGAUGGUUUUCCCCAUGUGAAAACAGGAGACAUAAGGGAGGGACCUGUGACUAUUUUGACCACUGCAAGGUUAAAAAUUUUAGAAGGCAUGAUUUGAAGGAUAUGGCAAGUGGGCUUCAAUAUAGUUUUUCUUUUAGUUUUUUAUUCAAGCUUUAUGGGAAGUACUUGAACAUGGGAGUUAUGGUAGUUGAUAAGGCUGAAAUUGAAUUUAAGUUGGAGGAUUGGCAGGUAAAAAUAUACAGAUGCUUUUCUGUAUUUGGUGCCACCAGAUCCAUAUUUAUUAGUGGAGUGGAAGGAGGAUCCUGAAGCUGUUAAGAUGUAGAAAUCAAAAGAAGCUUCUAAACUGGAGAAAUGUAAAUGUGAGGAGUUGCCUACAAACUGCACAAUUUUUCCUAAUGUUGUUGUGUAUCCUCCAAGGCAUGUUAAUGUGGAUGAUAAAUUUUACAAUUUCUUUGUUAAGUAGGAUGAGUUUAUGGUUGUAGUUACAAAAGGGGUUGUUAUUUAAGAAGAAUUACAUGAACCAAUUGCCAUUAGUUCAUCAUCUGAUUUAGAGGCUUCAAUUCAUUUUUCCUCAAAAGAUGUUUAUGACAUGAGUAGUGAGAAUUCAAAUGAGGUGGAUUCAAAUGAGGUUGAUGAAGAAGCUGACUAUUUCAUUCCUCUUGAGAUGGAGGAUUACAUGAUUUGACUAGAGGAAUUAUUUGGAAACAAAAUGAUGGAGACAAUGGCAGUGGAGACUAGCAAUAAUGCUUCUAAUCUCACAAUGGAAGAGGCAAAUAUUUUUACAUUUCAUGAGGUUAGAUUAGAUGAAUUUAGUUUUAGUACUGUUUUAAUUUGUUUCAAUUAUAUUUGCAAUUAAUGAGAUGGAUACUGGCAGGAGGAGGAUAUUCUUGUGCAUAACAUUAUUUUCUACUA
Molecule: long non-coding RNA, 1368 nt
Organism: Cannabis sativa
Lineage: Eukaryota; Viridiplantae; Streptophyta; Magnoliopsida; Rosales; Cannabaceae
Exons: 3
Source: RefSeq, a predicted model, not a curated record